This 265-nucleotide long non-coding RNA is filed under the name Elaeis guineensis (African oil palm). Its description in RNAcentral is "long non-coding RNA (EGUI_LNC026577)". Lineage: Eukaryota; Viridiplantae; Streptophyta; Magnoliopsida; Arecales; Arecaceae. The record is from RNAcentral.
CUUGGUCUUAUCCCCUACUCAGAAGUGCUUCACAUCCAUGACCAUGAGUCCCUUCUAAGAUUAUAGAGAGUAUUAUUUGCUCUUCACCCUCUUGUAAGGCGGAAGGAAGGCUCCUUCCACUUUCAUUUGAAACACGGUCACACCUAAUGUUCUUGUCUUCUGUCCGGUGGGUUAAAAGAGAUCGGGAUGAGGCAUACUUUUUUCGCUCAACACCCUAAAAAAGUUUCUUGGAAGUCCAACGAAGGCCAAAAGAAAACACAAGCCG